Molecule: ribosomal RNA, 333 nt
Filed under: uncultured bacterium
Lineage: Bacteria
Description: bacterial SSU rRNA
Rfam family: Bacterial small subunit ribosomal RNA
Source: RNAcentral
GACGAACGCUGGCGGCGUGCUUAACACAUGCAAGUCGAGCGGUAAGGCCCUUUCGGGGGUACACGAGCGGCGAACGGGUGAGUAACACGUGGGUGACCUGCCCUCAGCUCUGGGAUAAGCCUGGGAAACCGGGUCUAAUACCGGAUAUGACUCCAUGACGCAUGUUGUGGGGUGGAAAGCCUUGUGCGGCUGAGGAUGGGCCCGCGGCCUAUCAGCUUGUUGGUGGGGUGANGGCCUACCAAGGCGACGACGGGUAGCCGGCCUGAGAGGGCGACCGGCCACACUGGGACUGAGACACGGCCCAGACUCCUACGGGAGGCAGCAGUGGGGAAC